This 253-nucleotide ribosomal RNA is filed under the name uncultured bacterium. RNAcentral describes it as "partial 16S ribosomal RNA". It matches the Rfam family "Bacterial small subunit ribosomal RNA", at positions 524 to 776 of the family's 1533-position model. The record is from RNAcentral.
UACGAAGGGUGCAAGCGUUAUCCGGAUUCAUUGGGUUUAAAGGGUGCGUAGGUGGGGCGUUAAGUCAGUGGUGAAAGCCUACAGCUCAACUGUAGAAUUGCCAUUGAUACUGGCGCUCUUGAGUGCGCUUGAAGUAGGCGGAAUGUGCCGUGUAGCGGUGAAAUGCUUAGAUAUGGCACAGAACACCAAUUGCGAAGGCAGCUUACUAAGGCGAUACUGACACUGAGGCACGAAAGCGUGGGGAUCGAACAGG